Molecule: ribosomal RNA, 2149 nt
Filed under: human gut metagenome
Description: bacterial LSU rRNA
Rfam family: Bacterial large subunit ribosomal RNA
Source: RNAcentral
UGCCGCUUGCGAGGGCGUAUGGUGGAUGCCUUGGCAGACAGUACCGAUGAAGGACGUUUGAGGAUGCGAUAAUCCUAGGGGAGCCUCCAACAUGGCUUUGAUCCUAGGGUCUCCGAAUGGGGGAACCCGCCGGCCGUCAUGGGCCGGCACCGCCUAUGGGCGGGGGGUACGCAGGGAAGUGAAACAUCUCAGUACCUGCAGGAAGGGAUACUCCGUGAGUAGUGGCGAGCGAAAGCGGAUCAGACCAAACCGGUUGCGCGUGAUACCCGUCGGGGGUUGCGUUGCCGGUGUUGUGGGAUCACGUGUCCCGGUUCCGACGGGCCGGGCGGGAGUCAUAAAACGGCUUGCCAGGGGAACAGGCUUGAAGGCCUGGCCGUAGAGGGUGCCAGCCCCGUACCUGGACGUGAGCCGUCUUCCGAUCGUGUUGUCCCAAGUAGCGCGGGCCUCGUGGAAUCCCGCGUGAAUCAGCCCAGACCGUUGGGUAAGUCUAAGCAUACCUGUCUGACCGAUAGCGUACCAGUACCGUGAGGGAAAGGUGAAAAGCACCCCGGGAGGGGAGUGAAACAGUUCCUGAAACCGUGCGCCCACAAACCGUCGGAGCCUCCUUGUGGGGUGACGGCGUGCCUAUCGAAAAAUGAGUCUGCGAGUCAGUGGCGGGUGGCGAGCAUAAGCCGUGUGGCGUAUGCGUAGCGAAAGCGAGUCUUAAAAGGCGUUUUUAGUCGCUUGUCCUGGACCCGAAGCGGGAUGAUCUAGCCCUGGGCAGGUUGAAGCGCGGGUAAGACCGCGUGGAGGACCGAACCCACCUGGGUUGAAAACCGGGGGGAUGACCUGGGGCUAGGGGUGAAAGGCCAAUCAAAUUCCGUGAUAGCUGGUUCUCUCCGAAAUGCAUUUAGGUGCAGCGUCGGUCGAUUGCGUCGCGGGGGUAGAGCUACCGGAUGCUUGCGGGCCCUUGUUGGGUACCAACAGCAGCCGAACUCCGAAUACCGUUGACGUGUAUUCCGGCAGUGAGUCGGCGGGGGAUAAGCUCCGUCGUCGAGAGGGAGACAGCCCAGACCGUCGUCUAAGGUCCCGAAGCGUGUGCUAAGUGGGAAAGGAUGUGGAGUCGCAUAGACAGCCAGGAGGUUGGCUCAGAAGCAGCCAUCCUUGAAAGAGUGCGUAACAGCUCACUGGUCUAGUGGUUCCGCGCCGACAAUGUAGCGGGGCUCAAGCACACCACCGAAGACGCGGCAGCAAUCUUCAUGGUUGCUGGGUAGGAGAGCGUCCUGCGAGGGGCGAAGCGGCCGGGUAACCGUGCCGUGGACUUCGUGGGAGUGAGAAUGCAGACAUGAGUAGCGAGAGACGGGUGAGGAUCCCGUCCGCUGGAUGACCAAGGGUUCCGGGGCCACGUUCGUCGUCCCCGGGUGAGUCGGGUCCUAAGGCGAGGCCGACAGGCGUAGUCGAAUGGAUGAACGGGUGGAUAUUCCCGUACCGACCAUGGACCGGCAAAACCGAGACGGUGAGUACUAACCUCCGCCUCGUGGUGGUUCCUUCCUUCGGGUUGGUUCCGCCGCGUGGUGUUGGGAGCGUAGCCGUAGUAGGUCAGCGCAGGGGUGACACGGAAUGGGAGCCGGCCGCGGAGGUGGUUUUCCGUGGUCAAGCACGCAGCCAGUCAUGUAGGCAAAUCCGCAUGGCGCGCAUGGCGAGGUGUGAUGAUGGGAGCCGUUAUGGCUCGAUAUCCGGUUGUCCAGGCCGUCGAGAAAAGCCUCGGCGUGAGGGCCAUGGCCGCCCGUACCCCAAACCGACACUGGUGGUCAGGUAGAGAAUACCAAGGCGAUCGAGCGAAUCCUGGUCAAGGAACUCGGCAAAUCACUCCCGUGCCUUCGGUAUAAGGGAGACCCGCUGGGGUGAACCGGCUAGCCCGGGGAGCUUUGGUGGGUGGCACAGACCAGGGGGUAGCGACUGUUUACCAAAAACACAGGUGCAUGCGAAGGCGAAAGCCGCUGUAUAUGCACUGACGCCUGCCCGGUGCCGGAAGGUUAAGAGGAUCCGUCAAUCCCUUCGGGGACGAAGCGGUGAAUUCAAGCCCCGGUAAACGGCGGUGGUAACUAUAACCAUCCUAAGGUAGCGAAAUUCCUUGUCGGGUAAGUUCCGACCUGCACGAAUGGCGUAA